CUUAUGUUACACUCAACUAUCAUGCAUGUACAAGGUUUAUCGUUACAUGAUAAAAAGAGUUUACAAGUUUAAGUGAUCAAAGUUUAUGGUAGACGAACUGAAUCCUUAUAACUAGUACUGCAAAUGUGUAAUUAAUGGAAACAAUUUAAGCAACAUAUCAACAAUUUUAUAACAGUGAUCAAUAACUAUUUCAUGUGAAUAAAAGGUACAUUAAAACCCAUUCAGAUAACAGGAAGUUUUGAACACUUUUCAACAAAAUGGCGACUCCUUUAGGUUCAGUUCAUAAAAGCUCUGAUUUGGUGAAGGACUUCUGUUGUGGAGCCUGUAAAAGUAGAAGUAUCGAAGAAAUUGCAGAGAUCUACUGUGAAACAUGCCUGAAGUGUUUUUGUGGAAAAUGCAUCUAUCUUCAUGGCCAAUUAUAUGCUGAUCAUAUCACUUAUGGUACAGAAGACAUGAACAAGUGGCCUGUCACUAAGAAAAUGGAGGAUUUUCUAUUUAAGUGUGAGAACCACAAAGACAAAAAACUUAAAAUGUUUUGUAAGGACCAUAGUCAGCCAUGUUGCACUAAUUGUGCUUUCCUAAAUCACAGACUAUGCAAGGAAGUAUCCCUUAUUUCUGAGUCAGUAAAAACAAAUCCGUCAGACUUGCAUGAAUUGUCUAACAAGAUUGAGACCAUUCUGAAAGAACUGAAGAAUCUUCAAAAUACAAGACAGAGCAGCUUUCAGUCUGUUGAGGGCUCAUACAGUAAGAGACUACAAGAAGUCAGAGAUGUGCGACAGAAACUAAAUUCUGCUCUGGACGAACUUGAAAAGGCUACACUGAAAGAACUGGAUGAUCUGAGGACAUCACUACAAGCUGCUCUCAAGACUGAUGUAGACAACUGCAAUAAACUGAUGGAUGACCUAGAGCUCCUUAGUGAAGCUGUGAAGGAACUUGCAGAUAAGAGCAUUGGAGAAAUGGCCUUCAUAGCCAGCAGGAAAUGUCUGGACAAGAUACAGGAGUCACAAGUAUAUCUAAAAAAACUUCUUUGAAGUUUGACAGUUCAAUAGCAUUCCAAGUAAACACAGACAUUGAACAGUAUUUGACCAAACAGUUUGGUAUUGGCAAGAUUUUACAUAGAGCAGUGCAGGGAGACGCCAAUAAUCCAUUUACAGUAACAAAGAAGUGCCAGUAUGAUCUGAAAAUACCAACUGAUGGUACAACCAGUUAUUACACAGGCAUCUGUGUUACCACAAGUGAUUAUAUCCUUGUUGCUGACCACCGCAAUAAUCGAGUGAAGCUUCUGAACCAGCAGUACAAAGUGAUCAGCCACUGUGAUGUGCCUGUUAGUGAAGGGGAAAUGUGUCAGAUAAGUGCAAGUGAGGUGGCUGUCACUGUGAGUGAUGGGGUCCAAUUCAUCUCUGUGGCUAAUAUACAGCUUGUAAAAGGCACGAAACUUCAGUUUCAACAUCAUUGUACUGGCAUUGCCCAUCAUGAAGGCAACCUGUAUGUCACCUCCGGUACUGCUCUGUACCAGUACACUAAGACUGGAGCACUAGUACAAAAGAUAUAUGAGGAUACAACUGCUAGUAGCACAGUUGUAGGUCAUGUCCUGGUUUGUGGAUACUCAUCCCGCACCAUCAUACAGGUGGAUAGGGAGGGAAAAACAAAGCUAGCUACACUAUGGGCGAAGAAGGAUGUUGUGAUUUAUCCUGUAUCAGUUUGCUACAACAGCGACACCCACACAGUCAUUCUAGCAGAACUAACCCCACCAGCCAUAUAUAGGAACAACAGGUCCUGAAUAGCACAUAUUCAGACGUCAUCUUCUACUACUGACUUCCUAUAAACAAGGCUUAAGCUAUAUGAAUAUUGAUUGUAUUCAGUGAAUAAAGUAUAGUGUAACUUGCUUGUUACGAGUACAAGUAAUUAGAAAUACCCCGCGUGACAGGAGGUUACAAAUUGGCGCCCAACGUGGGGCCCCUCGAAUGAGGGCUCUGACAUACCGGAUAGGGUGAGAACCCCGGAGAGUAGCAGCGAUGAAGAUAGGUUACGUAACACCAGGAUGGACAGGAAGACCGACUCGAGUUGUGUUUAAUUUGGUACCAUUUUUUUUCUUGUGAUCACACACUUUGUCGUUAUAACAGUGCCGGCACCUGAGGCUGAAACAGGAUCAAGGAAGGACACACGAAGGACAUACAAGGACUCAUGAACUCAAUAGACUGACUUGUGCUGUGUGGUUCCUCUAAGUGUUGAUAUAGGUGCUAGCAGAACUAACCCCACCAGCCAUAUAUAGGAACAACAGGUCCUGAAUAGCACAUAUUCAGACGUCAUCUUCUACUACUGACUUCCUAUAAACAAGGCUUAAGCUAUAUGAAUAUUGAUUGUAUUCAGUGAAUAAAGUAUAGUGUAACUUG
Molecule: RNA transcript, 2393 nt
Organism: Dreissena polymorpha
Lineage: Eukaryota; Metazoa; Mollusca; Bivalvia; Myida; Dreissenidae
Exons: 7
Source: RefSeq, a predicted model, not a curated record